Gasterosteus aculeatus (three-spined stickleback) is the source of this 1275-nucleotide long non-coding RNA. The record is from Ensembl. Lineage: Eukaryota; Metazoa; Chordata; Actinopteri; Perciformes; Gasterosteidae.
AUGUGUUUAAAUAGACUUUAUAGUAACAGAGACUUUUUACACACGCAUGCUGAUUGUGGCGCAUCGAUAUUGUGGUGUCAAUUUAAGUCUCAGGAAUUGAACAAAACUAAUUGUAUUUCUGAACAUAAAUUAACUGUUUCUUUAAUUUUAGUGUGUGUUUGUAUUAGUUUCCUUCGUUUAUCUCCACUGUGCCUCUCUCCUUUUCUAGCCCCUUGUCCUCCCACCAACGUGUCAGCUGUACUGAACUGCACUACACUCAACGCUCUGGUCAGCUGGAGGAGCUCAGAUGCAGCCACAUUCUACACCGUGCAGGCGACCUCCAUGAAUGGACACAACUCCUCCUGCAGUGAGAUGGGCACAUCCUGUAUCCUCAACGACCUGGUGUGUGGACAGGACUACUCUGUUGUUGUGGGGGCCAUGCACGAGGGCUGUCCUGGCCCGUCCAGUGUCCCUGCCAGGCUCACUACAGGUGCGAGCACUUCAGACCUUGGAAACAUCCGGGGCCAAACAGUAUAUUAUUAUAUAUUACAAACAAAAGAACAACAAAGAAAAGGAAAUACAAUGCGGUUCCAUGUUUGUCUCCCUCCAGAGCCCUGUGCCCCCACGAAUCUCUCUAUCCUCUAUAACAUGAGCACUGCUCAGGUGACGUGGGGGGCAGCGAGAGGUGCCGGCUCGUACUGGGUCCAGGCUGUGACAGGACAGGGCUCGACGGUCACCUGUAACUCCACCAACACCAGCUGCUCCCUGAACGGCCUGCAGUGCAGUCGGAUCUACAACGUCUCCGUGACGGCACGAAACCUGGACUGCGACAGUACGAUCGCCGAGACGCGGCGCCUCGUGACUGGUGCGUCUUCUGAUCGGGACAAGAUGUGGUACAUUGUGCGUCGUUCCCUAAUCCUUCAAUGUGUGUGUGUGUGUGUGUGUGCUCUUCGUUCAGAACCCUGCCCGUCCACCAACGUUCAAGCCAGCAUGUCGUGUGAGCAACUAAGUGCGACGGUUUCCUGGCAGCAGAGCGACCUCGCCGUAGGUUAUGUCGCCUACUUUGACAACCAGGAGGACCACAACGCUUCUUGCGUUGGGUCAGACGCAGACGCCCAAUGUGUUGUCUCAGGACUGAUGUGCGGCACCGUGUACAACGUCUGGGUCAAGGUCUUAGGCUGGCAGAACACCAGCUCUGAUAGCACAGUUACCACGCUUACAUCAGGUGAAGAUGAACUCAAUAUGUACGAUCGAUUACACGUAUUACAUAAACAUCAACACAUUUAUCAAGAAUAA